GGGCCUGUAGCUCAACGGUAGAGCGAUUCCCUCUUAAGGAAGCGGUUGGAGGUUCGAUUCCUCCCAGGCUCACUA
RNAcentral lists this transfer RNA (75 nucleotides) under Candidatus Woesebacteria bacterium RBG_13_46_13. RNAcentral's name for it is "tRNA-Lys". It matches the Rfam family "tRNA". Rfam says of the family: Transfer RNA (tRNA) molecules are approximately 80 nucleotides in length. Their secondary structure includes four short double-helical elements and three loops (D, anti-codon, and T loops). RNAcentral also lists the same sequence under 1 other name. The record is from RNAcentral. Lineage: Bacteria; Candidatus Woeseibacteriota.